CCCGUUACUCCCGAGUUAUAUAAAGGAUUAGUUCAUACUGAACGAAUCGUUCGUGACCGACACAUCACUAAUCUUCUUCUCUGCCCCUCUC
Long non-coding RNA from Melanotaenia boesemani (Boeseman's rainbowfish), 91 nucleotides. RefSeq lists it as uncharacterized. The transcript has 4 exons. The record is from RefSeq and is a predicted model, not a curated record. Lineage: Eukaryota; Metazoa; Chordata; Actinopteri; Atheriniformes; Melanotaeniidae.